RNAcentral lists this long non-coding RNA (1230 nucleotides) under Salmo salar (Atlantic salmon). Its description in RNAcentral is "lncRNA (ENSSSAG00000100479.1)". The record is from RNAcentral. Lineage: Eukaryota; Metazoa; Chordata; Actinopteri; Salmoniformes; Salmonidae.
UGGAUGACACAGUGUAGAUGUUGUAGUGGUGGGGGAAGGAAAGGUCCAUCUGGAUUACACAGUGUAGAUGUUGUGGUGGUUGGAAGGAAAGUUCCAUCUGGAUUACAUAGUGUAGAUGUUGUGGUGGUGGGGGAAGGAAAGUUCCAUCUGGAUUACACAGUGUAGAUGUUGUGGUGGUGGGGGAAGGAAAGUUCCAUCUGGAUUACAUAGUGUAGAUGUUGUGGUGGUGGGAAGGAAAGGUCCAUCUGGAUUACACAGUGUAGAUGUUGUGGUGGUGGGGGAAGGAAAGUUCCAUCUGGAUUACACAGUGUAGAUGUUGUGGUGGUGGGGGAAGGAAAGUUCCAUCUGGAUUACAUAGUGUAGAUGUUGUGGUGGUGGGGGAAGGAAAGUUCCAUCUGGAUGACACAGUGUAGAUGUUGUGGUGGUGGGGGAAGGAAAGUUCCAUCUGGAUGACACAGUGUAGAUGUUGUGGUGGUGGGAAGGAAAGUUCCACCUGGAUUACAUAGUGUAGAUGUUGUGGUGGUGGGGGAAGGAAAGGUCCAUCUGGAUGACACAGUGUAGAUGUUGUGGUGGUGGGGGAAGGAAAGUUCCAUCUGGAUGACACAGUGUAGAUGUUGUGGUGGUGGGGGAAGGAAAGUUCCAUCUGGAUUACAUAGUGUAGAUGUUGUGGUGGUGGGGGAAGGAAAGUUCCAUCUGGAUGACACAGUGUAGAUGUUGUGGUGGUGGGGGAAGGAAAGUUCCAUCUGGAUGACACAGUGUAGAUGUUGUGGUGGUGGGAAGGAAAGUUCCAUCUGGAUGACACAGUGUAGAUGUUGUGGUGGUGGGGGAAGGAAAGGUCCAUCUGGAUGACACAGUGUAGAUGUUGUGGUGGUGGGGGAAGGAAAGUUCCAUCUGGAUGACACAGUGUAGAUGUUGUGGUGGUGGGGGAAGGAAAGUUCCAUCUGGAUGACACAGUGAAGAUGUUGUGGUGGUGGGAAGGAAAGGUCCAUCUGGAUGACACAGUGUAGAUGUUGUGGUGGUGGGGGAAGGAAAGGUCCAUCUGGAUUACACAGUGUAGAUGUUGUGGUGGUGGGGGAAGGAAAGUUCAAUCUGGAUGACACAGUGUAGAUGUUGUGGUGGUGGGGGAAGGAAAGGUCCAUCUGGAUGACACAGUGUAGAUGUUGUGGUGGUGGGGGAAGGAAAGUUCCAUCUGGAUGACACAGUGUAGAUGUUGUGGUGGUGGGGGAAGGA